Peromyscus californicus insignis is the source of this 581-nucleotide long non-coding RNA. RefSeq lists it as uncharacterized. The record is from RefSeq and is a predicted model, not a curated record. NCBI's taxonomy places the organism in Eukaryota, Metazoa, Chordata, Mammalia, Rodentia, Cricetidae. The transcript is spliced from 2 exons.
GAUGCGAGGUGCCAGUGGCAUCCCCCUGGCUCUGGAAGACGCACUCGGCCUCUGCAAACUAUAACAGAACUUGGAGAGGACCUGUGAGAUGGCCCAGAGCAUAAAAGGCACUCAUCGCCAUGGAACCUGAGUCCCAUACCUGGGGAGCCACACCGGCAGGAAAGAACUGACUUCUGAAAGUGUCCUCUGGGGUCCACAGACACACUGUCACAUGAACAAGCAUGAGCGCGCACGUGUGCGCGCGAACACACACACACACUCAUCAAGUGUAAAAGAAGCUUAAAUAAAAGAAUUAUAGGCUGAGAGCGUGACUGGACUAAGUAUCAGUUCCCACAAAAAGGCACAAAGGGCUGUCUUGAAAUCUUGAACCUGGAGGAGGUUGGCCUGUAUGCACAGUGAAGGAAUCACAUGUAAAAUCCCUUCAAACAAACAAAACCCCCAAUAACAGGCAAAACAAUACAGUCAUUGAUAGUCUAUUUGAUAGCAAAUUUCAACAAAUGGAAAUAUAUGUAUAUCCACAUGCAGGAAAAACUUGAGUAGUGGUAUCAUACAGUGUAUAAAAAGUACAAUCUCCAAAUAGA